Molecule: ribosomal RNA, 510 nt
Filed under: uncultured Pseudomonadota bacterium
Lineage: Bacteria; Pseudomonadati; Pseudomonadota
Description: bacterial SSU rRNA
Rfam family: Bacterial small subunit ribosomal RNA
Source: RNAcentral
GCAAUGCCGCGUGCAGGAAGAAGGCCUUCGGGUGUAAACUGCUUUGUACGGAACGAAACGGUCUGGAUUAAUACCCUGGGCUAAUGACGGUACCGUAAGAAUAAGCACCGGCUAACUACGUGCCAGCAGCCGCGGUAAUACGUAGGGUGCAAGCGUUAAUCGGAAUUACUGGGCGUAAAGCGUGCGCAGGCGGUUUUGUAAGACAGGCGUGAAAUCCCCGGGCUCAACCUGGGAAUUGCGCUUGUGACUGCAAAGCUGGAGUGCGGCAGAGGGGGAUGGAAUUCCGCGUGUAGCAGUGAAAUGCGUAGAUAUGCGGAGGAACACCGAUGGCGAAGGCAAUCCCCUGGGCCUGCACUGACGCUCAUGCACGAAAGCGUGGGGAGCAAACAGGAUUAGAUACCCUGGUAGUCCACGCCCUAAACGAUGUCAACUGGUUGUUGGGAAUUUACUUUCUCAGUAACGAAGCUAACGCGUGAGGUUGACCGCCUGGGGAGUACGGCCGCAAGGUUG